UACGGGGGGGGCAAGCGUUGUUCGGAAUUACUGGGCGUAAAGGGCUCGUAGGUGGCCAACUAAGUCAGACGUGAAAUCCCGAGGCUCAACCUCGGAACUGCCUUUGAUACUGGGGAUCUCGAGUCCGGGAGAGGUGAGUGGAACUGCGAGUGUAGAGGUGAAAUUCGUAGAUAUUCGCAAGAACACCAGUGGCGAAGGCGGCUCACUGGCUCGGUACUGACGCUGAGGUGCGAAAGCGUGGGGAGCAAACAGG
Molecule: ribosomal RNA, 253 nt
Filed under: uncultured bacterium
Lineage: Bacteria
Description: partial 16S ribosomal RNA
Rfam family: Bacterial small subunit ribosomal RNA
Source: RNAcentral